UAUAUCUUAUUGAUAGCGGCUGGUGUA
Molecule: small RNA, 27 nt
Filed under: Bombyx mori (domestic silkworm)
Lineage: Eukaryota; Metazoa; Arthropoda; Insecta; Lepidoptera; Bombycidae
Description: piRNA piR-bmo-1275058
Source: RNAcentral